GCACCUAACCCAUGCUUUGCACAACCUCUUUUUUCGCUUUAUUUCAGCACCCAACACCAUGCUGGGACCACCACGCUGCAUCUUGGGGGCUGGCAACUCUGCAGCUCUCCCACCUCCUGCUCCCUCUUGGGUUGCCUUGAAACCCUGCUGAGUUUUGUCUGGGUUUUAGCAAACACCCUCUUGCCUGGCUUUAGUUUCUUUUCCACCUUCCCAUUUUUAACUCCUUUGAAACUGGGCUUACACUCCCCAUGAAUUUGGCAUGUGCGUGAAAAGAAAGUGUGAGUUUGGCAGCUCCGCAGGGGUGGAUGCAGAAGACCUUCCCAAUGGGAAGCUGAGUUGGAGGAGGAUCUGGGUGCCUCUUCCCUGCUGAGACAGGCAGGAGCUGGAGGACACCACGGUCACAGAAGGAGAGUGACAUGGUGGGGACACUUCUGGACCAGCCUCGGCCUUGUCAGCAGGUUCUUGUGGAGGGCAUUCAGCUAUCAGUCAUGGUUUCCAUCAGGCGACUCCAAUUAAAGCUUUAGCCAACGCUGUACAGGAUUAUACGUGUUCAUUCAUGUCAUAGCCAGGAAGCCAAACCAAACCACGAGGAAGGCGAAACACAAGGCAGAUGGGCAUCUUGGUUGCCUCGGGGCAUCUCACCACCAGCCUAGCCCCACUCUGCCUGACCAGGGACGGGACAUUGCACUGAGAUGGAGAAGUCCCACCACGACACCGCUUCACAUGUCCACUGUGAGGCUCUUGAUGAAAUAAAAAUGGGACAUAGAGCUGUUGUCUUCCCUUACCUAGCUCUUCUACAGGAAAUCAUGCACAUAACAGAGAGCCACGUCCUUCCCUAACAGCACGACGAGGCACUGAUUUAUUCUGCAGAGAAAGCUGGUGGAGGUGUGACCCGGAGCUGAGGCUGCCAUUUGUGAGUUCGUUCCCAUCUGAUGGCUACUGAUCGACCAUGCAGAGGGUAACGGCCCCAGCAGGAAUGCCACGACUUAAGUUGCAUUGAAAUUCAAGAGGGUUUCAAGUAUUUAGUUGGAAAUUGUACUCAUGAAGCCCCCGAAUUUAGUUUUGGCCAAACAUGGCAUCAGUUCAAAUAUGGGAAAAGAACAUAGCAGUCAGGGUCUCUGCCAAAGCCUUUUUUUUUUCCUGCUCAGAUAUUUCCCAUCUCGUUCAGACCUUGGUUGCAUUCCCCACCCUUCCACCUCCCCGCUCAGCAGCAUGCCUCGGAGACGGGCACAGCUACAAGAGCUAAUUCCCUGCUGAGUGAUGCCUCCCCUGAUUUGAAUUGCCAUCAGCUCGUGGCAGGACAUGGCCUGCUGGAAACAAACGAAAGAACCUGCCGAAUUCGAUGUAUUUCUCCCUCCAUUUGUAAGAUUUCAUGGAGUUAAUUCAAAUUCAUGGCUCCUGUGGCUGCCGUGACAAAAUCAGAGCCUUAUAGAUGGCCAACGAAUUCCCAUUUGUAGGGAUUUUUGGUCCCCUGAGGCAUGAUCAGCUUCUGCUAAGGACAGAAGCCACAUAAGGGGUUUAGAUAGCAGCUCCCUCUUGCUCUGCACCACCACCAGAUGCACGAUCCAAUCUCAUUUAUUUCGAUCUGAUGUCCUAUUGUUUCCCCGAAAUAACAUGGCCAGGCUACGGGGGCUCAAUAUCUGGCACCAAAGCUUUUUAUUUUACCUUUUUUCUUCCUUCUUCAGUGACUUUGUUCAUGCGCAUGGUAUUUGACCAGGUUAAAUGUGUUGGGAAGUAGUUGCAUCCUGAGGAUAUUUCAAGGUAAAAGGAACUCGCUGGGUUCUGUCGGAAACAUUUCUUGUUUGCCCUGGGCUGAAAGGUGCCACGGUUUGAUUUUGGUUGUCCUUGACUGGUUGCCAAAGGACUUGUGGCAGCCUUGGGGUGCAAGCAGCACUGGCCACUGAUUCCCAUACUGUCAGGUGUUGGUUGUUGCGUGGGAAAUGCCAAAUUACUUUGGUCCCCAUUUCCCCGGAGCUGGAUAAACCCCCAAAUUCUGAUUCUCAUCCAUCUGUGUAUCUCCCGAGCCCCAGCACAGCUUGCAGCCACACCAGCAAACACCGGGCAGCCAGACAAGGAGGAGAAUUGCUUGUCUCUGUUACAGGGAGGGUCUGGGACCUAUAGGACCCGAAUUUCCUCCACAUCCCCAGCGUUUUCCACUGCCAUCGAGAUUAGCAUGGCCCAAAUGGUGUGAACAUGACGGUGUCCAGUGAUGCAGCCCUCCUCCAGGGGGGACUACAAGGAAUUGUAUGGGAAUGGCGCUAAUCCCAUGCAGCCACGGAGAGCUUUUCCUUCAUUUGCUGAAUGUAUGAAAUCCAUAUGUCAUCAAUCCCUUUCUGGUGGCUGUAGCCUGUUUCCGAAGCUUAAAUCCCUGGCAUGUGGCUGGGAGCACAAGGGCCAAGCCCCGGAGCUUGCCAGCGCACGCUUCCACCUCCUGCUUCACCCGCUGCAGUUGGGUCACCGCCUGGCCUCCGCCACCGUCGGGGAGCUGAGGCUGCUUAAAAAUGGUGUUUCUGCCAAAUUUCUGGGUCCUGGGCAACAUCAGCUCUUUAUGGAGAGCAUUUCUGUGUCAGCACCCAGUUUGGGGUUUCCAAAUCACCCCGCAGAUGGUGGGGAAAAGAAAUGGGGAAAUGGGGCUGGUUUUGGAAGCAACUCAGCCCACUGCAUUGGGAAUGAGAAAAAAAUAAAAAAUGGGGCCAAAGAAGGGAAUGAAAGCCAGAAAGGGUUUGUGGUCAGGGUCAGGGGAGAGCUCCCCCAGGGUCAGAGCCCUUCUCCCUUUAGCUUUGGGAGAUUUGGGUAGCUUUAUUUUAGUCCCUUACGACACAUUUGCAUAAAGCUGCUUUCAGCUGAGUGCUUCUUAGCGCUGGUCCCUGCUCUAUUUAAACAUAAAUGUUUUAAAGUGCACAGACAGGUCUUUAGCAGGAAAAAAAACUGCCUGUGAAUUACAUUUAUUUCUUGUUUACCCACACAGCUCCAGCCGACACUUAUCAACAGAUUAACUUUCACUAAAGUUUCUGUGUAAUAUGUUUUAAAAAACCCCUCGAAGUGCAGAUUCUAUUAGUUCCUGACCUUCUGUUUUAAGAGGGAGAAAGUGGCUUUACGCUCCAUGAAAUGUGUUAAUGCAUGGAUGGAAGCCCUCUUAUCCUCCUGCUUACAUUAGGUCCAAUCAGGGGAAUGGAUUACGUUUUUUAAUAAUCUGACAU
Long non-coding RNA from Anas platyrhynchos (mallard), 3200 nucleotides. RefSeq lists it as uncharacterized. NCBI's taxonomy places the organism in Eukaryota, Metazoa, Chordata, Aves, Anseriformes, Anatidae. The record is from RefSeq and is a predicted model, not a curated record.